Molecule: long non-coding RNA, 2775 nt
Organism: Cyprinus carpio (common carp)
Lineage: Eukaryota; Metazoa; Chordata; Actinopteri; Cypriniformes; Cyprinidae
Source: Ensembl
CGAAUAUUGAACUAUCUGGAUGAUUGGCUGAUAUUAGCUCAAUCACAGGAUCUGGCGACAGCGCAUCGGGACUUGGUGCUCGAUCACUUGAGGAGCCUUGGACUGUGGGCGAACCCUCAAAAGAGUGUCCUGCUACCAUGUCAGCAAAUGACCUUUUUAGGUGUGGACUAGUCCACGCAGGUUUAUGUCGCAGACUGUGGUUCAGUUGGACCUGCUCCAAAUGCGGCCAUCAAGAGCCAAAACAUUUCUUCUCACUGCCAUCCAUUCAGCAGAGUUAUGAUGACGCACAGGGGUUUUCACACUCUGUGCCCAUGGAUGAGACCCCAUUUCCUUCAAAAGGGAGUCCAGCUAGGGGCAUCUUGUCAUCACAAGACAAUAGCGACAGAUGCAUCUCUCACCGGCUGGAUGGCAGUCUAUUAAGGAAGCCUAGUUUGUGGAGUUUGGAUAGAAGUGCAUCGUGGCAAUAGAAGAAAUACAAAAUAACAAUCAAUCAGCCUUGGUGGGCAAACUUACAAAAUCAGCAGGGGAUCAAAUAAAUAUUUUCCCCACUGUAUCUUCAGUUUCACUCUCUUGUUUUAGAUGUAUCAUCAUCUGCCUUCCCCUAUAAGAGGAAACUUCCUCUUUCCUCAGUGAAGAGGUCAGAUAUUUUCUCGUGUGUCAGUCCAGUCUGAGUAUCGCUGUGAACAGAGAUGGACAGAAGUCCAGACACUCGUGUCACGAUCUGAAGCAGCAUCUAACUCUUCUGCUGGGAUUGGGCAAUUCUGGAAACUGGACAUUAGAGAAAUGAUGCCCCUCUUUGCACUGAUGCUGAUGCUGACGCAAACUGCUGAAUGUCUCUGCUGGUUAAAUCAGACUGAUCCCUGUUACGCAGCUCUGGGACACAAACUCAAUCUGGUGAUGGUGCUGGACGCUAGUAAAUAUGACAUGAAGAUACGAAAGAGAAUACACAACAACAACACAAAUGAUCCAGUUUGUAGAGUAAAAUAUGGCAGGAUGAAGGAUUGUGAUCUUUAUAGUAACAGACCUGAAGUUACAGUAAUUAAUGGGACACUGAUAAUAAACCGUGUGAUCAGAGCAGAUUCAGGGAAUUACACAUUAACACUCAAUCAUCGCUCAGACGGCACAGAAACAUCUACAGAUCUUCAAGUGAACGUUGAAGCUCCUGUUGGCUCAGUGGAAGUGUCAGUCAGCUGCUCCUCCAGUGGGGCGAUGAGGGCGUCCUGCUCCUCUGAGGGCGAUCUGCUCCUCUACAGCUGGACUCUUAAUGGAGAGCCACUGAUGGAUGGAAACUCCAGCAUUGAUCUGCAUGAGGGAACUGAUGGAAACAUCACCUGCAGUGUGAAGAACCACGUCAGUCACGGACAGACGACCAUUAGUCUGAAACCCUGUUCUGUUUUACAUGUCUCUCUGAUUGCUUUGGGCUGCGUUGCGCUGAUCCUGAUUCUGCUGUUCAUCCCUGUAUAUCACACUUACAAGAAAAAACAGGUCAAGUCGACAGCUGCCGCUGCCAAUGCAGAUGUCAUAUAUGCUUAUAUCUCUCAUAAGAAAAAGGGUGAAAAGAAGAAAACAGAAUCACUCCCGACUGCUGAUGUGGAAUACGUAGAGGUCAAACCGCAGAAAAAGAGGAAGGAGAGGAAAGAGAAGAAGGACGAAGAAGUUCAGUACGGCGAGGUGAUGUUCACUCUGAACCGCUCAAACACUCACCUGCAGCCUCAGCAUGAGUGUAUUUAUUCUCAGGUACACACUGUGUAACAUCGCACUUUCCCUGGGAAAUUAAGUGUGUAUAUUCACUUAUGUUUCACUUUGGGAGUUGUACAGUUUACAUAAAGCACAUAUCUCUUUGCAUAUGCACUGUGAAUUAUUUUGUCUAACAAGUUAAUGAUGGUACUGUAGGAAGGUAGAGCGUGAGCUUUAAAGGGAUAGUUCACCCAAAAAAGGAGCUUACGCUACGCCUACGUCAUCCGCUGGAACGCGCGUACGACAGAUUACGUAAGAGAUUAUGGUCUAUGAAGUUUUAAAUAUGGAUAUUUUUCUUACACAAACGUAUUUAUUCACUUCGGAAGGCCGUUAUUAACCCCCCAGAGCUGUGUGGAGCACUUUUUAUGAUGGAUGGAUGCACUUUACUGGGCUUCAAAAUCUCAACACCCAUUCACUGUCAUUAUAAAGAUGGGACGAGCCAGGACUUUUUUUUUUACUUAGCUCCUAUUGUCUUUGUUUGAAAGAAGAAAGUCAUAUACACCGAUGGGUUGAGGGUGAGUAAAUCAUGAGGUAAUAUUUUCAUUUUUGGGUGAACUAUCCCUUUAACGUAUGCGUCUGAGCUGAACUGUGAGAUGUUGAGUAAGCGAGACAAUGGAAAAAAAAAGGAAACUAAAUGCAUGUUAUUUUCCAUCAGACAAGCACUACUGUUUUUAGUGCUUCUCAUGUUGUUCUGCUGGCAGCUCUGACGAUAUGAUGGCGAGAAAAAGCUUAAGUGAAAGUCAGCUUUUAAUCAUGAAGAAAUUCAUGCUCAAAAGUCAUGAAAACACAGCAAUCGGGUGAUUUUGAAUUAUUAAAACAUUUCAAAGCAAUGAAAAUGCAUAAAAUCUGUAAAAUGUAGCUAUAUUAUCAUCCAGCUGUAAUCUGCUAAAUGCGACAUGAAGAUAUAAAGCUAUUAUAAACAUUAAAAUCAUGAUUUUCCGUAAACUGUUUUGAAACAAUGUGUAUGGUUGGUCAAAAGUGCUAUGUAAAUGAAACUGACUUAAUAAAGUUAUUAGAGUGAAUAUUAAUAUUAAUCUA